Long non-coding RNA from Athalia rosae (coleseed sawfly), 882 nucleotides. RefSeq lists it as uncharacterized. The record is from RefSeq and is a predicted model, not a curated record. NCBI's taxonomy places the organism in Eukaryota, Metazoa, Arthropoda, Insecta, Hymenoptera, Athaliidae. The transcript is spliced from 2 exons.
AUACAACCUAGUCGACGUCUCGACCCGAACCGCCCCGCCAAAUACUGUCGUACUAAAAAUACCGGCCAGCAGAACUGCUCCAACAAACAACGCCGUCCUCUAGGCAAGCAGCGCGCAGUCGACUCGGGGAGGAAGGCCACCGCCGGUUAUCGACCACCGCUUCAUUCCUAAACGAUUGGCACCUGCGAAAAACCGUGCCAAAUUCAUCUAUGAGAAAAAACUACCGAUUGACGAAGACGGCGUACGAUUAUCUCCGCAAUGCGGCUAUACCGGGACAGGAAAUUAUAUUUCAAAGUCAGAAUGACUAAAUUCCUAAAUCAAGUGGAGUGAAAACGUCACGGUAUUGGGUUACACAUGCGCUGUGUAAUGCGUUCACGGUCAUGCGACAUUUUUUAAAAAUAUUCUAGCCGUAGAGCAAUGCAUCGACUGCGAUGAAAUUAAGCUACCCUAAUCCGCAUCGAAGGUCGGGACGCUAAUUGAGAAAAAAAAGAAAAUUCGAACCAAAAAUAAUCGACGAUUCUUUCGCGGACCGUAUAAUUCGGACGGAUUAAUCUAAUCAGCGUUGAAUAUUGGCGAGGUGCACCUAUAAACGUAAGUGCGAUUAAAUUUAGUAGAUCAUUGGUACACUUUUCCAAUUUGCGAACCGUUGACAUUAUUUUAUAGCGAGCUACAUGAGCCAACUGGGUAGCAGCUGGUGAUGUCGCGGUACAUAACAACCUCAGGUCGUUGAGACCUACAGUGUCUGUCAAGAUCAGUAAGCCGAGUGUAGUAUGCUGCUGCAUAACGCGGCGUUCAAAGUUCGAAGAUAGCGAUAACGAGAUAGGAAAAAAAAAUCAAUAUACCGACUAGAAUAAAUCGAUCGAGAAUAAUUAUUCAUUUCAU